UGGGGAAUUUUGGACAAUGGGCGCAAGCCUGAUCCAGCAAUGCCGCGUGUGUGAAGAAGGCCUUCGGGUUGUAAAGCACUUUUGUCCGGAAAGAAAUCCGUCUGGCUAAUACCCGGACGGGAUGACGGUACCGGAAGAAUAAGCACCGGCUAACUACGUGCCAGCAGCCGCGGUAAUACGUAGGGUGCGAGCGUUAAUCGGAAUUACUGGGCGUAAAGCGUGCGCAGGCGGCUUUGUAAGACAGAUGUGAAAUCCCCGGGCUCAACCUGGGAACUGCAUUUGUGACUGCAAGGCUAGAGUGCGUCAGAGGGAGGUGGAAUUCCGCGUGUAGCAGUGAAAUGCGUAGAGAUGCGGAGGAACACCAAUGGCGAAGGCAGCCUCCUGGGAUGACACUGACGCUCAUGCACGAAAGCGUGGGGAGCAAACA
Molecule: ribosomal RNA, 427 nt
Filed under: uncultured bacterium
Lineage: Bacteria
Description: bacterial SSU rRNA
Rfam family: Bacterial small subunit ribosomal RNA
Source: RNAcentral